Molecule: long non-coding RNA, 1154 nt
Organism: Mesocricetus auratus (golden hamster)
Lineage: Eukaryota; Metazoa; Chordata; Mammalia; Rodentia; Cricetidae
Exons: 3
Source: RefSeq, a predicted model, not a curated record
GGGCGCCGCUUCGCGCCCUCGGCUUCCAGCCUCCGCUCGCCUUAAGGCCUCACGCACCUCUGCAACUUCUGAGACGCUAAAGUUUGUCGUCGCGACGAGGCGCGCGGCCCCAGGAAGCGGAGCUGAAAGGACAGGCUGGUCCAAGGACUAUCCUGAUGCUUCUGACAAGGCUGUUAUUUGGAGAGAUGAUCACCCCAAAGAUGACUUCGGAAAAAGUCAACAGCCAUGGGGGAACAUGUGAUCUUGACCUCAUCCAUGAAGUCUGUCCCAGUGCUGAACAGUCUGGCAGAGUGGGCUAUUGAAAAGUCUCCAGGCCUGGUUGGGAGCUCCAGAACCCAGUAUCGGCGUCCCAGGUGUGCCUUGGGAGUUUCAGCGCUGUGCUGUAGGAGAGUUGGCCUGCACCUAGGGAUCAUACCACCAGGCUUCAUCUCCCAGUGUUUCUAAUAAUGUCAACUACCAGGUGGCCACUAGGGGGCACCAGACUCCUAUGCGAGGCUCUUUCUACACCUGACAGCUGAGAUCUGCUCACCUCCCAGUCCUCGCCCAAUAGCUCAUAUUCCCUUACUGUAAGCCCAGACUUGCCCUUUCUCUUUCCCAGGAAUCACCAACUAAGGCUAUUUAGUUCUGUGCAAAUUGCUCAAGAAUAUCUCCUCAGGGCUCCUUUUCUUAAAGUAAUUAAACUUAUGGGGUUAGAUGGAACUGUUCCUUUCCUCCCCACCUCCCAUUCCAAAACCUGUUAGAGCCCCUCUAACUCAGAGAAUAUUCAUGCAAUACUUCCUUCCCAUAACUGCCAGCCCCACCGCCUGAAGGACUGAAGCUGGUUCAGUCCCCAGCCACUUGGCCUAGAAAGGGCUGCCUCUGCAGGAUGUCCCACAGGUGAGGACUAGCUAGCUUCAGCAACUCCAAGGCAGCUUCAUUGUUCUGCCAAGAGCCGGAAAUGCAGCAUUCAACGCUCUUGGGUGUGCAAAAUCGGGAAGUCAACAGGACCCGCUAGCAGCCUGUCCUACUGCCGCCGAGCGCCCAUUGUUCCAUUAGUCUUUUCAUUACCACCCAGCCAACUGCUGUCCGACUUCUUGAUCAAACAACAAUGUCUUGAGUUUAAAUUUUAUUUUACAAAAAGAGAAAUAAAGAAAACUGAUAGGCAGUUAUACUGA